Molecule: RNA transcript, 385 nt
Organism: Trematomus bernacchii (emerald rockcod)
Lineage: Eukaryota; Metazoa; Chordata; Actinopteri; Perciformes; Nototheniidae
Gene: ost4
Gene name: oligosaccharyltransferase complex subunit 4 (non-catalytic)
Exons: 3
Source: RefSeq, a predicted model, not a curated record
AACGUGACGUGGCUUUCCCCUUCAACCGGAAGUAAGCGACUGAUUUGCCUGUUUGAUGCUGAGCAGCUGAAGUAUCGCUUGAACCAAGAGUAAAAGCCCAAUUUCAGGCAUAAUAAUGGUGACGGACGUGCAGCUGGCCAUAUUUGCCAACAUGCUUGGCGUGUCAUUGUUCCUGCUGGUUGUGUUGUACCACUAUGUUGCAGUCAAUAACCCCAAGAAGCAGGAGUAGAGUCCCUCCAGAAUGAUUGAAGAGGCGAGAUGGGACUCAAUGUCGCCACCAAGGAAACAACAUUCCCUACAUUCAGUCCCAGGAGAUGAAUUUAUAUGUAUGAUUGCACAGUAGUGUUUUUUUCUAAUAAAAAUAUGUGAAUGCCAUUUGCUUUAA